GAUGAACGCUGGCGGCGUGCCUAAUACAUGCAAGUCGAGCGAACGGACGAGAAGCUUGCUUCUCUGAUGUUAGCGGCGGACGGGUGAGUAACACGUGGAUAGCCUACCUAUAAGACUGGGAUAACUUCGGGAAACCGGAGCUAAUACCGGAUAAUAUUUUGAACCGCAUGGUUCAAAAGUGAAAGACGGUCUUGCUGUCACUUAUAGAUGGAUCCGCGCUGCAUUAGCUAGUUGGUAAGGUAACGGCUUACAAAGGCAACGAUGCAUAGCCGACCUGAGAGGCAGAUAGCCCACACUGAAGCUGAAACACGGUCCAGACUCCUACGGGAGGCAGCAGUAGGGAAUCUUCCGCAAUGGGCGAAAGCGUGACGGAGCAAGGCCGCGUGAAUGAUGAAGGUCUUCGGAUCGUAAAACUCUGUUAUUAGGGAAGACCAUAUGUGUAAGAAACUGUGCACAUCUUGACGGUACCUAAACAGAAAGCCACGGCUAACUACGUG
This 497-nucleotide ribosomal RNA is filed under the name uncultured bacterium. RNAcentral describes it as "partial 16S ribosomal RNA". It matches the Rfam family "Bacterial small subunit ribosomal RNA", at positions 28 to 507 of the family's 1533-position model. The record is from RNAcentral.